ACAGAUUAUAUUAGUAACGUUUCUUAUUUAAUACCAAGAUUACUAAUGAUUGAAAAAUGUAAUGUGACCAAUUCUAGUAAAUAGUCCAUUUUUUAAAAUAUCACACAUGAAUUAAGGUUGUGACUUCUGUUUUAAUAUAUAAGAUAUCCCAUUUGGUAUUCAAAGAUUAUCAUCAAUAUAGACAAAUAUAGAUUCUGACUGUAGGAAACAAGGUUAUGUUGUUUCAUUUCAAAUCAUAGUUUUUUUAAUUCAAUCAUAAAAAGAAGGGGUUACAUUACGCAUUUUGAGCUCCCGGUUUUGCAAAUUAGAUUCUUAAGGAAUUUUAUUUUUUUUGAAUUAUAUGAAACUACUGUCGGUGCUAUAAUGGUAAUGGACAUGUAAUCAUUAAUAUGUGAUUAUUGCUUAGAUGUUAAAUUUCAUCUUAUUUUAUCAUGGACCCCUGUCAAUAAGUUCUUAUGUACUCUAAAUGUUGAAUAAUGUUUCAGUAAUAUGUAGUAUUUCUUUUGCCCAUCUCAUUAAUAAACAAUUAGUAUAAUUCUUCAAAAUCAAAAAUAAAACUACCGUCUACCGCUAGUAUAGUAGGUUUAUGUAAAUUCUUUGACUACUGUUUUGUUUUUAUAAAGUGUCUAAAAGAGGUACUGAUAACGAAGUGUGAGGAUGAAUAAGCGAUCCAAUAUGAAAAUCUAACCUAUACUAAAAGGAGAAUAAGCUCCACAGCUAAAGUGUCCACAUCAGCAAAUUAAUUCGAGCCAAUCAGAUUUUAAAUAUUUGCCAUGUCAGCAUGACCUAAUUCUUUCCUGCAAAUUUGUCGAUCAAAAUCCCAGUUGAAAC
RNAcentral lists this long non-coding RNA (831 nucleotides) under Brassica napus (rape). Its description in RNAcentral is "long non-coding RNA (BNAP_LNC005359)". Lineage: Eukaryota; Viridiplantae; Streptophyta; Magnoliopsida; Brassicales; Brassicaceae. The record is from RNAcentral.